Long non-coding RNA from Physeter macrocephalus (sperm whale), 1680 nucleotides. RefSeq lists it as uncharacterized. The transcript is spliced from 3 exons. NCBI's taxonomy places the organism in Eukaryota, Metazoa, Chordata, Mammalia, Artiodactyla, Physeteridae. The record is from RefSeq and is a predicted model, not a curated record.
GCGGUGCCCGAGGCCCAGCGCGGCGCCGCUCCUCGCGGCGAGUGUCACAGAGCGCGGCGGGCCGGCCCAGCUCCGGCCGGCGGGGGGCGCGAGGCCUGCCCGACGACCCUCUUCUCGAAUGACAAGGGACGCGGGAAGAGAGUGAUCCCCGCGCCCUCGGCUGCCCGGUGCCCCGCCAGGGUGUUACUGCUGCUGCCUCUCGGCUGUUAACCGCAGUGCGGGUGGACCUAGUUGUUGCAGUGGCUGAUGUCAUGGGGAAAGCUGCUUUAAUUAUCUUGUACCCGAACAGCAGCGAUGAUAAUAAAUACGGAGGCGGCUGUGUCUGUGAUUAUUUCUAUCAGCAAAGUUCAGUUCAAAGAAUUAGUUAGCUUUAUGGACCAGGGGCUGGUAACACAUUAGAAAGGCCUCUGACUGCUGGUAAAUGAGAUGGGUAGUUAAAACAAUCUAAGAAAAAUGAUUUCUGUCCAAUGUGUUGAAUGCAGCAAUUUUUCAAUUUUGAACUCGCAGGCACAUAGUAGGUGCGGUAGAACAAUGAUGCCCCAUAGAUGCCCACCUCCUAUUCCCAAACCUGUGAAUAUGAUGCUUUACAUGACAAAAGGGACUUUGUGAUUAAGGAUCUUCAGAUGGGAAAAUCAACCUAGGUUAUCCCAGAAGCAGCAAGAGGUCAGAGUGAUGUAAGGGGCAGUGAGCCAAGAAUUGAAGGCACAUCUGGAAGCUGACAAAAGGAAGAAAGCGGAUUCUCCCCUUGAAGCCUCCAGAAGAAAUGCAGCCCAGCCCAUACCUUGAUUUUAGAUUUUGACCUCCAGAAAGGUAGAUGGAAGCAGAUAUGAACAAGAACAGGAACAAGAAAUGUGAACUUUAACAUGAUUGAGGGAUAAGUCCUUAGAUGCUACUGAUUUUGGUGACCAGUCGGAUGAUCCACCAAAAACUGAUUAGUAUAUUCUGUCAGAGUAAAUUGUGGCGGGUUGUUAACGUAAUGGAACCAAUGAAUUACACCUCCCAAUGUUUAAAUCCACGCGUAGGCCCCCUCUCCUAUUUAACUCCUGGUUGGGCCAUAUGAUUUGCUUUGGCCAAUGGGAUGUUAGCAAACGUAACACAAGCGAAAGCUUAAAAAGAACUUGUAGUAUAUAUCACAUCUCUGAGGUUGUCAUGUGAAGAAGCCCAAGCUACCUCUUGGAGGAUAAGAACACAGGGAGCAGAGACAAGCCAUCUCAAUGGAGGUUCCAUAGCUCAAGCAGCCCCAUGCACCAGGAGAUCACAGCGUUGUUAGUGACCCAGGAAAGAAGAACAGAACUGCCCAAUGACCCCAGCCCAAUUGCUGACCUACAAAAUCAUAAGCAAAUAAAAUGGUUUUUAUUUGGUGGUAGUUUGUUAUACAACAGCAGAUAAUUGACAUACUCUAUUUCCCUAAAUUUCAGGUCAAAACUUAAGUAAAUUGAAAUUAUCCUUUUUUUGUGUGAUCUACCCUCGUCAAUUCUUUAUCUUGAUACCAGCUAAUUUAGUUUACAAUACUUUCCUUUGUCAUUCUCUUUCUUUUUGAAGAUUAAUACAAAGACACUUCUGCCUGAAAAGUUUCCCAAUAUGAAUAUUUUUACUUACUAAUAAGGAGCCCCACUCAGCAUAAUUUAUAUAUCUGUGUUCUAAAAUUUUGUUCAGAGAUUCAUCUUCCUCUUCAAAAUG